Molecule: transfer RNA, 67 nt
Filed under: Marmota monax (woodchuck)
Lineage: Eukaryota; Metazoa; Chordata; Mammalia; Rodentia; Sciuridae
Description: tRNA.Gly
Rfam family: tRNA
About the family: Transfer RNA (tRNA) molecules are approximately 80 nucleotides in length. Their secondary structure includes four short double-helical elements and three loops (D, anti-codon, and T loops). Further hydrogen bonds mediate the characteristic L-shaped molecular structure. tRNAs have two regions of fundamental functional importance: the anti-codon, which is responsible for specific mRNA codon recognition, and the 3' end, to which the tRNAs corresponding amino acid is attached (by aminoacyl-tRNA synthetases). tRNAs cope with the degeneracy of the genetic code in two manners: having more than one tRNA (with a specific anti-codon) for a particular amino acid; and 'wobble' base-pairing, i.e. permitting non-standard base-pairing at the 3rd anti-codon position.
Source: RNAcentral
GGUUGUAGCUCAGAGGUAGAGCACUUGCCUACCAUGCGUGAAGCACUGGGUUCGAUCCUCAGCACCA